Molecule: ribosomal RNA, 490 nt
Filed under: uncultured bacterium
Lineage: Bacteria
Description: bacterial SSU rRNA
Rfam family: Bacterial small subunit ribosomal RNA
Source: RNAcentral
UGAACGCUGGCGGCAUGCCUUACACAUGCAAGUCGAACGGCAGCGCGGACUUCGGUCUGGCGGCGAGUGGCGAACGGGUGAGUAAUACAUCGGAACGUACCCUGUUGUGGGGGAUAACUAGUCGAAAGAUUAGCUAAUACCGCAUACGACCUGAGGGUGAAAGUGGGGGACCGCAAGGCCUCACGCAGCAGGAGCGGCCGAUGUCUGAUUAGCUAGUUGGUGGGGUAAAGGCCCACCAAGGCGACGAUCAGUAGCUGGUCUGAGAGGACGAUCAGCCACACUGGGACUGAGACACGGCCCAGACUCCUACGGGAGGCAGCAGUGGGGAAUUUUGGACAAUGGGGGCAACCCUGAUCCAGCAAUGCCGCGUGUGUGAAGAAGGCCUCGGUUGUAAGCACUUUGUCGGUAACGAAUACGCGCUGGUUAAGUACCUGGCGUGGAGUGACGGUACCGGAACGAAUAAAGCACCGGCGUAACUACGCGCCACGCA